UAAAACCCUAAGCUAUAAGGUUCUUUCAAUUUCUUUUGGAUCUGCUUCAGUUCUAUGUUUGCUUUGAACUUCUAAAUAUUUUCUCGAAGUCUCUUUUAAGACUCUGCUUCCAAAACUCUUUAUCUUUUAGGGUUUUCUUGUUAAGUUAUUUCAAAGCUUUCUCAAAUUUUUGACAUGUUCUUCUAUAUUUGUUCCCCUCUCUGAGUUUGCAUGAUAAAAACCCUAAUGGCUUCUGCGUUUUUCCUAGUCCAUUUGUAUUUAUUUGUUUGAUUUACCUGCUUAUUAUCUCUAGGCUCGAUUGGUGUUGAAAAUCCUAAUUUUUGGGGUUUAUUCGAGUUCCUGGGACUACUUAUUUGUUUGAAUUACUUGUUCAUCAUCUCUAGACUCGAUUGGUUUCAAAAACCCUAAUUUCUUUGGGUUUAUUCGAGUUUUUGAAAAUGCUUGUGCAACUCAUCUGUUUAAAGUUACUCGACCUGAUUUGAAAUACUUUUGUUUCAGCAUCUGUUUCUUUAUAUGAUGCUUGUUUCUUGCUAUCAUUGAAAGUGGACAACUUUUUCAAAAGGGUCUUUUACUUGACCCUUUGCGUGCUCCUGAUACUCUCCCUUCUCUACUAAGUCAAUAAAGUUGACCUAUGUGACUAUCUGUUUCGAUGGUUCGCUAUCUAUUGACUUUGUGGUUGUUAUUGCAUGUUGCUUCUCUUUGCCAUAGUUUGGCCUCACAUGUCUAAUGUUUAUACACUCUAUUUUUAUGCUUAAUUUCCCUCUUGAAUGAUCUUCAAUUUUGGACUGAUUUCAAACCUUCUUUUGUGGAAUUCUGAUUGCCCUCGUCUGUUAAGUUUGAUUGAUUCUUUUCAUUGUUUUGCCUUACUGAAUCCCUUCCCAAAAUUAGUACAUUUUUGUACUUAGACAUAAUUACUCACUCAAUUGUUUUACUACUUCUUUCAUUGCAAUAACCAAUAUGCCUAUAAAUUGAUUUCUUUCCUUAUUUUUGAGUCUGUCACUGCCCGUUAAGAAGGUGAUCCCUUAAUUAAAGGCAAUCAUGUGUGUAAUUGAUUAUGAAUAGUGAUUGUUUCCAUGUUUGUGGCUUAUUACUUCUCUUUUACUUGUUUUCAAAAGCUAUAAAUGCCUUGUACUUCUCUUCUUUCAAAGACACGAACACUCCUAGUUCUGAACUCGCACUUUCACUCAAAAAACUCUCUUUUGCUUUACUACUACUUGUUCUACUGCCUGUUUAGCAGGCUGAAAUCCAAGGCUAUACUUCGAAGUCCCGCUUACUUUUCUUUACUGCACUUUGCUUUUCUGACUAGUAUGUUCUAAUUAAGUUUUCAGCAUCAACAACAACAUGUUUUUCACUGUUUCUUUCUUCUUGUUUGUCUCCUGUUGUAUCUAACUAAAUUCCAUUAUUAAGCAUGCUGCAUUUUGCGUCCCUUGUUUUGAAUUAAUAUUUUUUUUAUCAUGGCUUGUACAUCUUAAAUCCCCAUCCCUAAUGUGUUUUUUAACUGUGACUGGUGUGGGGCAUGGCUUCAUUAAACAUUGUUGACCAUGACUCAAACUUGAUCCCCCUGGGAUCAUAACCUUAAUGUUUCCUCUGUUUGUUGUAUGUUCUGAUUGGCUUAUAGGCGUGCCAACAUCUUCUAUUGCUAUGCAUUCCUAAAGCUGGCUGUGCCCAAGUACUCAGUCUCUUUGCAAUGAAUCCCCAACCCUUGACCCCUUGUAUGAAUUUACCAACUUUGUAAUUUACUGAUUACUAUUUUCCUACCACCCUUUAUGCCUCUCCUAUACUCCCCUCAUAUGUAAAACCCCUAUUCCUGCACUUCCA
This 1818-nucleotide long non-coding RNA is filed under the name Nicotiana benthamiana. Its description in RNAcentral is "long non-coding RNA (NBEN_LNC029421)". The record is from RNAcentral. Lineage: Eukaryota; Viridiplantae; Streptophyta; Magnoliopsida; Solanales; Solanaceae.